This 847-nucleotide long non-coding RNA is filed under the name Homo sapiens (human). RNAcentral describes it as "HSALNT0364766". Lineage: Eukaryota; Metazoa; Chordata; Mammalia; Primates; Hominidae. The record is from RNAcentral.
UGUGAAUCAACCUUUUUCUGUAUGUUUUUACAGUUUAAUAAUAAUUUGAGUUAUUGAAGGCUCCUUUUCAAGAAACAUAAUCAUUUAUAAUUUUAUUUUUAUCAUAUUAUCAUGUUAUAACAUUAAUUUUGAUUAUAUUUUUAAGAUAGCCUGACUUUUAUAAGACUAUAGUGAAAAUUUCUUUCCUACUUUUUCAAAUCACUUUUUUUCAAAGUAAACCUUCCAUUAACGCCGUAAGGAAAUUGAACUAUAUUCUUCUAACAAUGAAUUUUAAUCAUGUUUUUUUUUAGUGCAUCUAAAGUGUAUUGAGUUUUUCUAAGAUAUGGACCAGUAAUAAAAUGGAAUUAAUAAUGCAGACAUUGAAUAACUAGACAAUUGUUAGUAUUAUUAAGCCUUGUCUUUCUGUUUCUUUCAUGUCACUAGGUUGCUACAAUAAUUCCAGCUGUGUAUACCUCCUGGGAUCAUAAUAGAAAUGAACCUCUGAAGCAUCUUACUGAAGAAGGCCCCUACGUUGACUGUCCAGCUGACUGUCUCUACCCGACUGCUGUCCCACACAAUAUGGGCCAGGCGAUGGUAUUGCCUUUGCAAACUAAAUGAAGUUCCUCAAAGUGAAGCUGGUGGCGACUUCAGAGUUAACUUUUCAAAUGGCCGGGCUUAUAUAGAAUAACCUUUGUAAAAGUAAACUAUGAUCAUAUAAUAAGAUACAUGUGCAUUUGGAACGCCACUGCUUUUGGAACCUGUCUCAGUUUUUAUCAUCAUACAAGGUUAAUUGUCUAAUGUCAAUUAGAUUUUAUCACAGUGCAUUUGGGUCCUAAUCUGGAACAAUAAAAGUCUAUUAAACAGCAAA